RNAcentral lists this ribosomal RNA (245 nucleotides) under uncultured bacterium. Its description in RNAcentral is "partial 16S ribosomal RNA". It matches the Rfam family "Bacterial small subunit ribosomal RNA", at positions 524 to 768 of the family's 1533-position model. The record is from RNAcentral.
UACGGAGGGGGCGAGCGUUGUUCGGAUUUAUUGGGUGUAAAGGGUGUGUAGGCGGUUAUGCAAGUCAGGUGUGAAAUCCCUUGGCUCAACCAAGGAACUGCAUUUGAAACUGCAUGGCUUGAGUAUAGGAGAGGAGAGUGGAAUUCCCGGUGUAGAGGUGAAAUUCGUAGAUAUCGGGAGGAACACCUGUGGCGAAGGCGACUCUCUGGCUUGAUACUGACGCUGAAACACGAAAGCUAGGGGAG